Molecule: small nuclear RNA, 159 nt
Organism: Carassius auratus (goldfish)
Lineage: Eukaryota; Metazoa; Chordata; Actinopteri; Cypriniformes; Cyprinidae
Gene: U1
Rfam family: U1 spliceosomal RNA
About the family: U1 is a small nuclear RNA (snRNA) component of the spliceosome (involved in pre-mRNA splicing).
Source: Ensembl
UGACUGGCUGGCUGGGCCUUCACACCAUGAUCAAGAAGGCUGUUCACAAAGAGUGAGGCUAAUCCAUUGCACUCUGGGCCAUGCUGACCCCUGCGAAUUCCCCAAAUGUGGGAAUCUUGACUGCAUAAUUUAUGGAAGUGGGGAAAUGUACUCUCCCCU